UACGGAGGGUCCGAGCGUUAUCCGGAUUUAUUGGGUUUAAAGGGUGCGUAGGUGGAUUGGUAAGUCAGUGGUGAAAGUUUGCAGCUUAACUGUAAAAUUGCCGUUGAAACUGCCGGUCUUGAGUGCAAAUGAGGUAGGCGGAAUGCGUCGUGUAGCGGUGAAAUGCUUAGAUAUGACGCAGAACUCCGAUUGCGAAGGCAGCUUACUGGGAUGCAACUGACGCUGAGGCACGAAAGCGUGGGUAUCAAACAGGAUUAGAUACCCCUGUA
RNAcentral lists this ribosomal RNA (269 nucleotides) under uncultured prokaryote. Its description in RNAcentral is "partial 16S ribosomal RNA". It matches the Rfam family "Bacterial small subunit ribosomal RNA", at positions 524 to 792 of the family's 1533-position model. The record is from RNAcentral.